RNAcentral lists this small RNA (189 nucleotides) under Pseudomonas benzenivorans. Its description in RNAcentral is "Pseudomonas sRNA P27". It matches the Rfam family "Pseudomonas sRNA P27". Lineage: Bacteria; Pseudomonadati; Pseudomonadota; Gammaproteobacteria; Pseudomonadales; Pseudomonadaceae. The record is from Rfam by way of RNAcentral.
CGGGUUUACUCCUGGAUGUUACCGUUUCGUCCAACCAGGGCUGGACGGCGUUUUGGUGUCUGAUUCGGUAAGAAUCGGGAGCACCAUCUGCGUAGGCUGAUGAUUUAAGACUUGCGCCGCCUACGGUCUUGGAUAGCCCCCGCCAGGCAGGGACCCCAAUCUUUCAGGCUGACGGAAUCGCUUCCGCCA